GUUAGGAAUAUUGGACAAUGGGCGAAAGCCUGAUCCAGCCAUGCCGCGUGAACGAUGAAGGCCUUCGGGUUGUAAAGCUCUUUAGCCGAUGAUUAUAAUGACUGUAGUCGGAAAAUAAGCCCCGGCUAACUUCGUGCCAGCAGCCGCGGUAAUACGAAGGGGGCGAGCGUUAUUCGGAAUCACUGGGCGUAAAGCGUGCGUAGGCGGUUUUGUAAGUUAGGAGUGAAAGCCCAGGGCUCAACCUUGGAAUUGCUCUUAAAACUGCAAGGCUCGAAUCUCGGAGAGGAUAGCGGAAUUUCCAGUGUAGCAGUGAAAUGCGUAGAUAUUGGAAGGAACACCAGUGGCGUAAGCGGCUAUCUGGACGAGUAUUGACGCUGAGGCACGAAAGCGUGGGGAUCAAACAGGAUUAGAUACCCGUGUAGUCC
This 425-nucleotide ribosomal RNA is filed under the name uncultured bacterium. RNAcentral describes it as "partial 16S ribosomal RNA". It matches the Rfam family "Bacterial small subunit ribosomal RNA", at positions 354 to 796 of the family's 1533-position model. The record is from RNAcentral.